AAUUAUUGUAAACUCGUUACCAUCAGUAUAUAUGUACGUACUUCUGGAACAUUGCAGGUAGUUACUGGGAACUUAACUGGUUUAACUGACUGUCGACCACCCAGGAGAACAUUGAUGACGUGGAUAUACUUAAAAUGUAUGUAUUGAUGAUGAUGCGAACCAAAAAUGAAGUGUCUCAUGUUUUCACGGUUAACUUUCUUCCUAGAAUGCAAAGCAACUAGAUACGUAUCUUACUUGUCUUCAGCAAAGCUUGAGGUUAUAUUUAUGGAUUCAAGUUUUGGUGGCCAGUUAGCCUGCAACGUAUAUUUCACUUCUCUGUUCUUAGGGGGCACCCGCUAAAUAGAGACAAUCAUAGUUUUUCAUUAUUAACUGAAAGAUAAAUGAGCUCAUCCUAAUGAAAUGCUUUGAAGUUUUAUAAGAAAGUGUUUGUAAAGGUAAAUAAUACAGCUAGAAUGUGUAAUAAUUAUUUUUGACAAAUGUGUCAUUUUAAUGCUACUGAGUAAAUGUAGGUAACAGGACCCCGGAACUUUUGCUAAGUUUUUAUACCGAUAUAUUCAUCUCUAGAGGAUUUUCUAUUAUUUGUGCAGUGUUUCCAUUUGGACCAUCUCUUUGAAAUUCCCUGCCCUUGCAUGGAAGGGCAUGGAAGGAUAUCGGCUGUUAAGAUGCUGUUGGUUUGUAUAUUUUAACACUAAUCAUUCUGUGUAUUUGCCCUCAUUCUGCAAUUGAUUCCAAGCUCCCGGAAGUCAGAAACCACAUCAUACUUCCAAAUCUUGGACUUCUAAUCCCUCAUGGGAUCUAGCUCAGUCUUUUGCUUUUAAAAAGCCAGCCCUUAAGGGGCACCUGGGUGGUUCCGUCAGUUCAGUGUCCAACUCUUGAUUUUGGCUCAGGUCACGAUCUCACAACUGUGUGCCGACACCGUGGAGCCUGCUUGAGAUUCUCUCUCCCUUUCACUCUGCUCCUUUCCUGUUCUGUCCCUCUCUCUCAAAAAUAAAUAAAUAAACAUUUAAAAAGUACCUAAUAAAUAGGUACUAAAUAUUUGAUCUUUUCUUUUUGGGAACGUGUGGCUUAUUUCUUUUUAAAAAAAAUCUCACAGAUCCCAGUGACUGAUCACUCACAUUGUGGUUGUUUUGCCUCAGUGUGUUUGUCAUUUAGUGUCACCCUUCCAGGGAACACUCUGAAAUCUUUCAGUUUAUAGGUGAGCUGUGACUGUGAGCAGGGAGAGUUGGAAGCUCGACGGUUUCCUGCCAGUAAUUCUGGUUUCUGAAGGCAUGUCAGUGCUGAGUCUUUACACACCCACCCUGCUUUCCAGUAACUGAAGGGAUUUUAUUUGCCUAAAUUGGGCCGAAUACUUCACCUUGUCCUUCCUACUUGAAAGCACUUGAUCUCUGAUUUCAGUUAAGUUUGUGAGUCUUUCUCCAGUGAAAUUCUAGAAGAGGAGGUGUGUAGAACAACAGUUAGCCAUCAAACCUAGGGAAAAAUAGGACGAUCCACUGCUCUUGAACUCCUGUGAUAAACUUAAUGGUGUAAUUGUGGCACACCUCAAUAAAACAGGAAUUACUGGCAAAUCAUUUUUCUCUUUGUUUCAGAGCUUGAGAUCCCUCCUCAUAGAUUCCCAGAUAGUAAAAUUACUCUAGAAACACAUUGUCCCAGGACCAUGAAGAAAUGUUAAUUAGGAGACAAACCAUAUAAAAUCUUAGAACUUUGAUCAUCACUUGUAUUUCAUCUUCUUUCUUCUGCCAAAAUUAAAAUAAAAUUUAGUAGCCUGCUAGAAUUCUAAAAGUAAUGUGUUGCAAGUGGUAAUGGUAAGAUUUACCUUUAUUUUCAACUGCAUUUGGAACUUCCUAUAAAUAGGAAUAAACAUGAUGGUUUAACAAAGUGAAGUGAGUGGUUUUCGUGUGUUGCUUAUGCAGCUGACCUCAUUGCUUCGGCGCUACCUCUCAGAGUGAGAAAUUCUGGAACAUGUACCUGAUGAAGGCACCAAAACAUAAACCUUGCUUAUUUGGGGAGUAAUGAUAAGUGAUUUUUUUUUUCUUUUCCUCUUUGACUUUUCUGAAUUCUCCAGAUUUUCUCUCAUGCACCUUAUUGCUUUUAUCAUCUGGAUCAUACUCCUGGCAGAUGAAAUGCAAUAGACCUUUUCACAGUCAUUGUAAAGGUUUCAUGAGCCUGCUCAGGGAGGUUGGGAUCAUUCUGUAGUAGGUCAGGGACUCUUUACCUGGAUUCCUUAGAAUCUCCAGGCCUUUACACUAUGGAAUAAGAAUCUUCCCUAAAAAUUGUACCCAUGGUGUAGUGUAUGUGCAUUUACCUGGAGAGACGCCAUACAGAGGAUUCAGCAUACAAGUCUAGUGCCAUUCAGAUUCUUCUGGAUUUAUCCUGUUCAGUCUACCCAUCGUCUCCGUGGCUUGCUGCGUCCCUUUACAUCUGAACCUGAGCAUCAUAACAAGUCCUGCUCUUUAACAGAUGGCAGGAGACCUGGUAUCUUUGGCAGCUCCCUGUAAGGUGGACUGAACACCCUAGUCAGCUGGUCUACAAGUGAUGCCAAACUGGAAACUGGAACCCAAGUUCACAGGGUCGGCUUGAGAGCCAGUAAGAGAGCACUACUAUUUUCUCUUCUUUAAGAACUUGAAUUAAAAGGAAAAGAUGCUUUUUUUUUUUUUAAGUCUUCUUAGCUGUGUUUUCUCCUCCUCUCUUGGAUGAGUUGGGUGUUCAGAAGGGAGACAGUUGGCCAGCUCAUCCAGGCUCUUUUUUCAUAUAUUGACAAAUAGCCAUAAACCAAAGAAAGUUCAUUAGAAAUUAGUAGCGGUAAGGGCACUUGCAAAGCACCAGCAGUUCCUAAAUAUAAGUAAUGACUAGAAAUGAAGCAGUUUAUUAGUCAAGGGGCAAAAGAUCAUACUAGAUAAAACUCAGAAAUUCAGCGGUAUGUUACUUCUUUAAAAAAAAACAAAACAGCUUUAAUACUGGGAUAUGUGACCAAGAAUAUGGUACAUUGGGGCACCUGGGUGGCUCAUUUGGUUAAGCAUCCAUCUCUUGAUUUUGACUCGGGUCAUGAUCUCACAGUUCAUGGGUUCAAGCCCUGCGUCAGGUUCUUCGUUGAUGGUGUGGAGCCUGCUUGGCAUUCUGUCUCCCUCUCUCUCUGCCCCUCCCCUGCUCAUGCGCGCGCGCGCGCUCUCUCUCUCUCUCUCUCUCUCUCUCUC
This is a long non-coding RNA of Acinonyx jubatus (cheetah), 3191 nucleotides long. RefSeq lists it as uncharacterized. NCBI's taxonomy places the organism in Eukaryota, Metazoa, Chordata, Mammalia, Carnivora, Felidae. The record is from RefSeq and is a predicted model, not a curated record. The transcript has 2 exons.